This 1401-nucleotide long non-coding RNA is filed under the name Homo sapiens (human). RNAcentral describes it as "non-protein coding BVES-AS1:11". The record is from RNAcentral. Lineage: Eukaryota; Metazoa; Chordata; Mammalia; Primates; Hominidae.
CCUCGCUCCCGCGACUCCGCUGCGGGUCUGCACACCCGAGGACUCGGGGUACUUAACCGAAACUAGCAAUCCCAGGCGGUACAAGGCCCUCCAUCGUAGGCAAAGCACUACCUGAAUGUAGAUUUGGGCCAUACGUUGGAAAAUAAGACAUGAGAGUAUGCUCCGAUCAACUUUUACUGUUCACUGGACAACUAUUUUGGGAAUUUGCAGACCUAUAAAGCCCAUCUAUAAAUCUCAAGCAUGUCCACUUUCAGAGAAGAGAAAUGCUGACAACCAUUUAGUCUCUGAGGACAACACUUUUAAAGGACUCCAUCAUAGGACUGGAGAGAGAUUGGAUGUCAGAGUGAUUGAUGUGCUCCUACUGGAAGAAGGCAAACAUCCAUAUGUGAACUGCCUGUGGGGUUUCCAAGGAAAGGAACGGCAGGCAGCCUCUAUGAGCUUAAAGAAGAUAACUGGGACUUUAGUCCUAUAACCUCAAGGAACAGUAUUCUGUGAACCAUCUGAGAAGCUUGGAAGAGGACCCCAAACUCCAAAUAAGAAGCUCAGUGUGUCUGACACCUUGACUGCAGGCUUGGGAGGUCCUGAGCAGAAGAUCCAGUUCAACAGUGCCUGGACUCCUGAUCCACAAAAACUGAUAACAAAUAUUUAUUGUUUUAAGAUGCUAAGUUUGUAGUCAUUUUUUAUACAGCAACAGAAAACUAAACACACACAUAAACAGUUAUAAGUGCUCACUGUAUAUGAGGCUUUUCAUUAAUAAUCUAUAUUUUAUAAUAGAAUUAGAAUAUAGAUCUGUGAAGCUGAAGACACUCAAUCCUUGCUAGAUUUAAAUCAGGAAAAUCAGCUGAGAAUCAUUCCUUGAUAGAACCUGGAAAACAAGACCCUAUGAGAGACCCUGGGAAUUACAUUAAAUUCACUGUGGUUCCCAGUGUCACUGAAGAGGUUUUCCUUUCAUAGUCAGGUAGUCACCAUACUGUUAAGCAUUUGAACACAUGGGCAACUUCCAGAAUAGUUAUGACAUUGAUAUACCAAUCUCCAAAAUUCCUAGAAUACCAUGUUUUCAUGGUUGACCUUCAAAUCAGUCAGUUCUUUGUAACAUUGAGCCAUAAAGAUAGGGCAAAUACUUAAUGUUUUACAUAUAUUCAGAGAUUGACCCUCAAAAUACAGCCCAGAGAAACUCAAAAGAAUUAACUCUAUUUCUUCAAAUUGUGUGACGCCACCAAGGCCAGAUGACUUCAGCAUUGGGAAGGCAAUAUCCAGCUGUCAUCUUCUUGAUCCUCAUAUGCUACUACUAGCAUCUAGCAUUUACUGAGCAGAUAGUUUUAUUGUCCAGUUUUUAAAGAUAAGAAAAUUGAGGUAUUAGGAAAGUUAAGUUGGUUGCCUAGGGAAACACGAAGAUAUAGC